RNAcentral lists this non-coding RNA (79 nucleotides) under Acholeplasmataceae bacterium. The record is from RNAcentral. Lineage: Bacteria; Bacillati; Mycoplasmatota; Mollicutes; Acholeplasmatales; Acholeplasmataceae.
GGGGGUGAAUGGUGUAGAUUUCCUGAAACGCCGAUGUGCAAAAGGAAAGACCAGGGUUCGAUUCCCUGCACCUCCACCA